AUGGCGAACGGCGGCGACGGCGACGGCGACGUCCCGGAGAACGCCAACGAGCGUAAGGCCAGCCAUUCGCUUGCGAGGGUUUUAGACUCGUUUCUGAUGAAUUUUCUGUGUUUCGCCGCCGCAGAUUGCCCCGGGACGCAGUCGGAGGCGGCCGGGAAGGCGGAGUCCUGCGCCGGGGUGCCCCAACCAGCAGAUCUGCGCCACCGCGCCCAAGGGCCCCGACCCAGAAAAUAUGAGAUACCUGAAAGAUCUACAGUUAGUUCACUGACUCUCAGUAUAUUUAUUCUUGGCGAGACAAUGCUAAGCUGGGUCAUUUCAUUUUCAGACCUGCUUGCCAUCAUUGAGCGAAUGAAUACUGUGAAACAUAAGAUACUGGUGUUGUCUGGCAAGGGUGGUGUAGGGAAGAGUACUUUUUCAGCCCAGCUCUCAUUUGCCCUUGUUGAGAUGGACUAUCAGGUCGGCCUUCUUGACAUAGACAUAUGCGGACCUAGCAUCCCAAAAAUGUUAGGCCUUGAAGGCCAGGAUAUUCAUCAAAGCAAUGUUGGCUGGUCACCAGUGUAUGUUGAGUCCAACCUUGGUGUCAUGUCAAUUGGAUUCAUGCUGCCGAACCCAGAUGAUGCUGUCAUAUGGAGAGGUCCUCGCAAGAAUGGGCUCGUCCGCGCCUAUGAAGAACUCCCAACAAGAAUUAACAGUAGUGGAAAAUGGGCAUAA
This 711-nucleotide ribosomal RNA is filed under the name Triticum aestivum (bread wheat). RNAcentral's name for it is "partial small subunit ribosomal RNA". The record is from RNAcentral. Lineage: Eukaryota; Viridiplantae; Streptophyta; Magnoliopsida; Poales; Poaceae.